CCUACGGGUGGCAGCAGUGGGGAAUAUUGCACAAUGGGGGAAACCCUGAUGCAGCGACGCCGCGUGAGUGAAGAAGUAAUUCGGUAUGUAAAGCUCUAUCAGCAGGGAAGAAAAUGACGGUACCUGAGUAAGAAGCCCCGGCUAACUAAGUGCCAGCAGCCGCGGUAAUACGUAGGGGGCCAGCGUUAUCCGGAUUUACUGGGUGUAAAGGGAGCGUAGACGGGAGUGCAAGUUUGGAGUGAAAGGCGGGGGCUCAACCUCCGAACUGCAUUUGAAACUUUUUGUCUUGAGUAUCGGAGAGGCAGGCGGAAUUCCUAGUGUAGCGGUGAAAUGCGUAGAUAUUAGGAGGAACACCAAUGGCGAAGGCGGCCUGCUGGACGACAACUGACGGUGAGGCGCGAAAGCGUGGGGAGCAAACAGGAUUAGAUACCCCUGUAGUC
RNAcentral lists this ribosomal RNA (440 nucleotides) under uncultured bacterium. RNAcentral's name for it is "partial 16S ribosomal RNA". It matches the Rfam family "Bacterial small subunit ribosomal RNA", at positions 338 to 795 of the family's 1533-position model. The record is from RNAcentral.